AUUGAACGCUGGCGGAAUGCUUUACACAUGCAAGUCGAACGGCAGCACGGGGCAACCUGGUGGCGAGUGGCGAACGGGUGAGUAAUACAUCGGAACGUGCCCAAUCGUGGGGGAUAACGUAGCGAAAGUUACGCUAAUACCGCAUACGAUCUACGGAUGAAAGCGGGGGAUCGCAAGACCUCGCGCGAGUGGAGCGGCCGAUGUCAGAUUAGGUAGUUGGUGGGGUAAAGGCUCACCAAGCCAACGAUCUGUAGCUGGUCUGAGAGGACGACCAGCCACACUGGAACUGAGACACGGUCCAGACUCCUACGGGAGGCAGCAGUGGGGAAUUUUGGACAAUGGGCGCAAGCCUGAUCCAGCCAUUCCGCGUGCAGGAUGAAGGCCUUCGGUGUAAACUGCUUUGUUACGGAACGAAACGGACGAGCUCUAAUACAGUUUGCUAAUGACGGUACCGUAAGAAUAAGCACCGGCUAACUACGUGCCA
This 484-nucleotide ribosomal RNA is filed under the name uncultured bacterium. Its description in RNAcentral is "bacterial SSU rRNA". It matches the Rfam family "Bacterial small subunit ribosomal RNA", at positions 30 to 510 of the family's 1533-position model. The record is from RNAcentral.